RNAcentral lists this ribosomal RNA (445 nucleotides) under uncultured bacterium. RNAcentral describes it as "SSU rRNA". It matches the Rfam family "Bacterial small subunit ribosomal RNA", at positions 26 to 518 of the family's 1533-position model. The record is from RNAcentral.
AGAGCGAACGCUGGCGGCAGGCCUAAUACAUGCAAGUCGAACGGAUCCUUCGGGAUUAGUGGCGGACGGGUGAGUAACACGUGGGAACGUGCCCUUUGGUUCGGAACAACUCAGGGAAACUUGAGCUAAUACCGGAUGUGCCCUUCGGGGGAAAGAUUUAUCGCCAUUGGAGCGGCCCGCGUCUGAUUAGCUAAUUGGUGGGGUAAAGGCCUACCAAGGCUACGAUCAGUAGCUGGUCUGAGAGGAUGAUCAGCCACACUGGGACUGAGACACGGCCCAGACUCCUACGGGAGGCAGCAGUAGGGAAUCUUGCGCAAUGGGCGAAAGCCUGACGCAGCCAUGCCGCGUGAAUGAUGAAGGUCUUAGGAUUGUAAAAUUCUUUCAGCGGGGACGAUAAUGACGGUACCCGCAGAAGAAGCCCGGCUAACUUCGUGCCAGCAGCCGC